UACAGAGGUCUCAAGCGUUGUUCGGAUUCAUUGGGCGUAAAGGGCGCGUAGGCGGCCUGCUAAGUCGAACGUGAAAUCCCUGGGCUUAACCCAGGAACUGCGUCCGAUACUGGCAGGCUUGAAUCCGGGAGAGGGAUGCGGAAUUCCAGGUGUAGCGGUGAAAUGCGUAGAUAUCAGGAGGAACACCGAUGGCGAAGGCAGUGUUCUGGGCCAGUACUGACGCUGAGGAGCGAAAGCGUGGGGAGCAAACGGG
This 253-nucleotide ribosomal RNA is filed under the name uncultured bacterium. RNAcentral describes it as "partial 16S ribosomal RNA". It matches the Rfam family "Bacterial small subunit ribosomal RNA", at positions 524 to 776 of the family's 1533-position model. The record is from RNAcentral.